ACCCGCUGAACUUAAGCAUAUCAGUAAGCGGAGGAAAAGAAAAUAACAAUGAUUACCUCAGUAGCGGCGAGUGAAGAGGUAAAAGCCCAAGAUGUUAAUCUGUGUUAAAGACAUAGAAUUGUAAUCUAUGGAAUAGCUCAGAAAGCUGAAGUCCGCUAUAAGUGCCUUGGAAUAGGACGCCAGAGAAGGUGAAAGCCCUGUCUUAGAGUGGGACAAAGCAAUAUGAGAUGUUUCCAAGAGUCGGGUAGUUUGGGAAUGCUGCCCUAAAUGGGAGAUAAACUUCUCCUAAGGCUAAAUAUUUAUAGGAGACCGAUAGCAUACAAGUACUGCGAAGGAAAGAUGAAAAGAACUUUGAAAAGAGGGUUAAAAGACUUGAAAUCGUUGAAAAGGAAGCAGUAAAAGAGAAAUUAUUCAUUUAGGAAAAAGGUUUUAGGCUAAAUUAUACGAAGGUAAAUACUUUACAGGGUUUGCCCCGUAUAAUGAAAACUAACUCACUAUUUCUAGAUGAUAGACAAAAUGAGUUCGAACUUCAAGAAUAAGGCAAAGUGUUUAUUCACUAGCUCGAAGUUGAAGAUCGGACUGAGGGAUCUUAGGAUGAUUUUGUCAAAAUGGCUUUUACUGACCCGUCUUGAAACACGGACCAAGGAGUCUACCUAUUAUGCGAGUGUUCGAGUGGAAAAACUCAAACGCACACCGAAAGGGAUUUAAGAUGCGAGACGCAAGUUGCAGCAUCAACCAAUCUUGAUUCUUUGAUGAUAGACUUGAGUAAGAGCAUAAUCGGUAGGACCCGAAAGAUGGUGAACUACGGUUGAGUAGGGUGAAGCCAGGGGAAACUCUGGUGGAGGCUCGAAGCGUUACUGACGUGCAAAUCGUUCGUCAAACUUGACUGUAGGGGCGAAAGACUAAUCGAACCAUCUAGUAGCUGGUUCCCUCUGAAAUUUCUCUCAGGAUAGCAGGAACAGUUUAUGCAGUUUUAUCAGGUAAAGCUAAUGAUUAGUGGACUCGGGGUUCCGUGAGCCUUGACCAAUUCUCAAACUUUAAAUUGGUAAGAACCUUUAGUUUUCUUAAUUGAACUGGAGGGAUGAAUGCAUUGUUCUUAGUGGGCCAUUUUUGGUAAGCAGAACUGGCGAUGAGGGAUGAACCUAACGUUGAGAUAAGGUGCCAAAAUUCACGCUCAUGAGAUACCAUAAAAGGUGUUGGUUAGUUUAAACAGUUGGGCUGUGGCCAUGGAAGUCG
RNAcentral lists this ribosomal RNA (1236 nucleotides) under Zoothamnium hentscheli. Its description in RNAcentral is "LSU rRNA". It matches the Rfam family "Eukaryotic large subunit ribosomal RNA", at positions 23 to 1263 of the family's 3401-position model. Lineage: Eukaryota; Ciliophora; Oligohymenophorea; Sessilida; Zoothamnidae. The record is from RNAcentral.